Molecule: microRNA precursor, 103 nt
Filed under: Marmota monax (woodchuck)
Lineage: Eukaryota; Metazoa; Chordata; Mammalia; Rodentia; Sciuridae
Source: RNAcentral
AGUGGUAUAGCUGGGUUAAAUGGUAGUUCCAUUCACAAUUUUCCAAGGAAUCUUCAUAUUGUUUUCCGUAUUGGCUGUACCAAUUUGCAGUCCCACCAGCAAU